Scophthalmus maximus (turbot) is the source of this 783-nucleotide long non-coding RNA. RefSeq lists it as uncharacterized. The record is from RefSeq and is a predicted model, not a curated record. NCBI's taxonomy places the organism in Eukaryota, Metazoa, Chordata, Actinopteri, Pleuronectiformes, Scophthalmidae. The transcript is spliced from 2 exons.
UUCAGGAUGACUCACCCGGAGCCCAGAGGGAGGGAGAGGAGUGAGAAGAGGGAGGGACACGGGGGAAGCCCUGUGCCUCGGCCGCUGGACGACACACAGUUUAAACACAGUGAUGGAGUGGAAUAGCAAACGGGCACCUUCUCAACGAUGUCAGAAGAAAUGCUCUUUUUUCCAACAUGUAAAAAAACGAUAAACCCUCUCUCGCUGCUGAGGGAAUGACUUCUGAUGCUAUCACUCGUUUCCCCCCAGCAGCUGCGCAGGUACAAGCAAGAUGCAACAAGUUGCCGCGGAGGACAUUUUCCUUGCACAAGCAGACAGAAGCUCCCAAUAUAAGAGCCGCAGGAGCACCACAGUUCAUCCGGAACCAUCCACCGGUCUGGUUACCUUGUGAGUGUCUCUUUGCCCGCAGCUGCUGUCUGUUCUCCGGGACGUCCAGCGGCAGAGAGUCGUAGGUUUGCGUCUCCUCAGCUCACUGACUGGAUUAACUACAGCAGCUCGGAGGAGCGGCUCCCCGCCCAGCAAACCAAAUUAGGCAUCAAAUGUCUGCACCGUUAUGUCGGACUUCCCUUACUCCUCCUCCUCCUCCCUGCUACUACACCCCCGGUGUGUAGUGCUGUGCUGCAGAUGAUCAUCACUCUUUCACAAUCUUCUUUAUGGAUUGUAUACACGUUCACCGUGUGGCAGGAAGGGAACUUUCAUGAAUCUGAAGUUAACGUCGUUAUUUUAAUAAAUCUGUCCUGUGUGUGAAGAACCACACAAGAGGACUUUAUCUUUAUGAAUGAA